RNAcentral lists this long non-coding RNA (1739 nucleotides) under Meleagris gallopavo (turkey). RNAcentral's name for it is "lncRNA (ENSMGAG00000021468.1)". The record is from RNAcentral. Lineage: Eukaryota; Metazoa; Chordata; Aves; Galliformes; Phasianidae.
CUUGUCCAGAGUGUCUGAAUGAUGUGAUUUUACUCAGAAUGACCUGGCCAGACUGAGUGUCCCAUACAUAGACCACAUUGGGCCUAACCCUUACUGCUUUUCACUGGCUGUGCUCAUGAGCAUUGUAUAACAUUUUAUCUGGAGGUACUUUUGGUAAUGCUGACUCUUAAUAAGAGCUUGGAUCAAUCGUACUUGAUCUCAGUUCUAAUUAUUGUCAUUCAUCAGCCUCAUUAGUUCCCUGAUGCUGAGAUGGUCUCUUCUACUGCUCCACACUUGUUACCAUAAGGUAAAUUCUGUUGGCGUCCUGAUCUCUCUGUGCGAUGAGGCUACACACUGUCUCUGGAGGACAGCUACCCUUGGACAAUCACUAUCCUGGGACUUCUUAUCAGCAAAAAUCCUAUAAGUAAUGUGUUCAUCCUCGUCACAACACAUCUAUCCCAAGGGGACUGCAGCUGCUGCUACUGAAGACCUAGGGCUCAGGUGGUGCCAGCAGAAUAACAAAAGAAUUGGCUUGAUGCUGCACUGCCAAAAACCUCUGUGGAUAACAUGUGAAGCUGGGAAGAAGGCAGCUGGAGAAAAGAAGAACAGUCAUUUUGGGCCAAUGAGAAACAUUUCAUUCAGCUGCAUCCUACUUAGUUUUGUUGCAUAGACAAAGCUUUUGUUUAAGCUUUUCCUUUCACUUUAUGUCAACUUUAAAUCAAAUUAAUGCUAAGAGGAAUAAAAUUCUAACUGAAAAAGUGAAAAGAUAAGGAGCCUUUUGGAAUUAAUGAAAGAAAGUGUUUCCAGAACAAGGACUUUAUGUUGCCAACAUCUGAGUGAAAUACUUUGAGGCUUUUGAAGUCCUUCAGUACACACAAGCACCCACAUUUCUUAUUGGCCAAGUACCAAAUUCAGCGAUGUCUUAAGAAUAUCCCAUCCUUCUGUGUGUGUUUAUUCUUUGUUACAUACAAGUGUCAAAACAACUAGGGGAAUUAUCACAGGCUAGUGGCAAGACAGAGAGUAAACUUGGUCAUAGGACUGUAAUGUAAUUAACGGCUGUGGACAAAUAUCUGGGAACAUAAGUUAAAUUAUCAUGUAGGGGCUACCAGAGAAAAGCAGAAAGCUUAACAUCAUCAGUUAAAUUGAAUAGCUCAAAUCACUUCACUGACAAACCUGGGAGAGCUAGCAGACACAAAGGGGAGGUAAGGCAAGAAAUAACAUCCAAAAGCCAGACCAAAGGUUCAGUACAGUCUCUGACCUAAUAUAAUGUGGAUUCUUUAUCUAUUAGUUUAAAAUCCUCCUGUUUUUUUUCUGGUCUCAUUCAUUUUCUUUCAUUUCUGGCUCUGGUAAUACCUGUCAAAGGGAACAUAACUCAAGUGACCUAAUUUUGGUGGUUAUAAGGACCGUAAUAGAAAGUAUUACUUUUAUUUCACACCAGUAGGUCAAAUUAAUUCUAUCAGCCAGAACUCAUGUUGGUGACCAGGCCCUGUGAAGAACCUCCUCGUGCUCCUUGGCUCUGGAUGUGCAAUUACAAUUGAAGAAGAAUUGCUUGGAGCCCCGGAACUGCAGAGGGCAUGGACAUGCUUCCAGCAUGCAGGGGUUUCCUAUCAUGUGCUGCAGAUCGGCAUUUUUUGGACAGAGUUUCUUUCUUAUCCACGUGCUUUGCAUUUCUAGAGAUUUCCAGACUUACAGCAUUCUCCUCUCCAGAAUAAACUUUUUCCAUUAAAAAAACUCCCACAAUUGAUAGAGCUGUCAUUAGG